GACGAACGCUGGCGGCGUGCUUAACACAUGCAAGUCGAACGGAAAGGCCUGCUUUCCCUUGUGGAUUGCGGGUACUCGAGUGGCGAACGGGUGAGUAACACGUGAGUGAUCUGCCCCCAACUUGGGUAUAAGCCUGGGAAACUGGGUCUAAUUCCCGAUAGGACUGCAGGGUGGUGCCUGUGGUGGAAAACGAUUUUCUAGUGGUUGGGGAUGAGCUCGCGGCCUAUCAGCUUGUUGGUGGGGUAAUGGCCUACCAAGGCGGCGACGGGUAGCCGGCCUGAGAGGGUGGACGGCCACAUUGGGAAUGAGAUACGGCCCAGACUCCUACGGGAGGCAGCAGUGGGGAAUAGUGCACAAUGGGCGGAAGCCUGAUGCAGCGACGCAGCGUGGGGGAUGACGGCCUUCGGGUUGUAAACUCCUUUCGACCGCGAGGAAGCCACCUGGUUGGAAGGGUGGUGACGGUAGUGGUAGAAGAAGCACCGGCUAACUACGUG
This 494-nucleotide ribosomal RNA is filed under the name uncultured bacterium. RNAcentral describes it as "partial 16S ribosomal RNA". It matches the Rfam family "Bacterial small subunit ribosomal RNA", at positions 28 to 507 of the family's 1533-position model. The record is from RNAcentral.